UUUUGCAUAGUUGCAUUACAAGUAAAAAUGAGUUGUGCAAAUCUAUGCAAAACUG
MicroRNA precursor from Esox lucius (northern pike), 55 nucleotides. The record is from Ensembl. NCBI's taxonomy places the organism in Eukaryota, Metazoa, Chordata, Actinopteri, Esociformes, Esocidae.